Molecule: long non-coding RNA, 1007 nt
Organism: Daphnia magna
Lineage: Eukaryota; Metazoa; Arthropoda; Branchiopoda; Diplostraca; Daphniidae
Exons: 3
Source: RefSeq, a predicted model, not a curated record
GCAAUACUUGCAAUGUGUUGCGGAUCACGACCCGCCACCUGACGGACAAUUAACUAGGUCGGGCCGACUAGUUCGCAAGCCCACUAUUUUUGAUUUAUAGUAUGUGUAAGGCCGCCAGGGGUGCUGUGUUCAGCGUCUUCUUGGUGGCCGAUCUCGGUUAAUGUUCUUUCUUCGCAAUUGUUCAACAAGGUAGAGCAGACGCUAUUAUAAGUUGUGUCAGAGUCUGAAUAAAAGCUAGAGAAUCAGCAACAAUUUACCUGAGUCAAGUGUCUUCAAAUCAGUAAUUACUUAUCAGAAUUCUGUACAACUCGAUUAAGUAACACUGCUAAUAGGUCAAGCCACGCUACAGUCGUGUCAAAGAAAGAGUGUUGAGCACCUUGCUUAGUCUAAAAGCUGAAUUCAGCCACUCCAGGGAUGUACCCGAGAAGAACUCCAAUUAGUCAUGAAGUAUCUCAGCGUAUCAAUGUAAUCUAAGUUACAAGAUAGUUCUAAGUUAGUGUGUUAAGUCAAGAUACCUAAACUUCCUGAGAGGAUUACCGACUCGUGAGCCAACGCCAAGAGAACAAAUUCAUCCAGAGAUUCCCUUGCCAGCUGUGCUCCAGCACCCAACACCACGUGAACCAGACUACGGAAGCACUCCGAUUGCAAGGUUUUACGGGUACCAAGGACCUAGAAGCCAUCCGAGGUCGCGUGGUCAAUCUACCGUUGCAGAGCAGUCAACAUCUCUAGCAACCAGGAACGUGGUCGUUCGCAGCCUUCUCGAAAACGAAAGAAGAAGAGAGGCUGAGGUUAUUGAACAAGAAGUCGGUGCAGAAGAAACUGAAGACAUCACUGAAGUGGAGACCAAUUUUUCGAUCAGAACAAACGAUUCUGAGACUAUCAUUCAAGAAGAAAGUGAAGUAGAGGAGACAGUGAAAGGAGAGAGUGAAGAAAGCGGUUCGACCACAUCUGAGGAAUUCAUCUUGUCCAUCAACGAACGAGAAUUUUGAAAAACCUCAGCGAAUUCG